This 475-nucleotide long non-coding RNA is filed under the name Homo sapiens (human). RNAcentral describes it as "non-protein coding lnc-FOSL2-5:1". The record is from RNAcentral. Lineage: Eukaryota; Metazoa; Chordata; Mammalia; Primates; Hominidae.
UGUUCUAUUUCCUUUACUCUAUGCUGAGAAACAGGGUUAAGCCUAUUAUUAUAAUUUUAUUAGAAAUUAUUUUAUUGAACACCUGUUGGGCCAAACACUGUAUCAGGUACUUGAAUAAGAUAUGGUCCCUCCCUCAUGAAAUUUUUUUUUUAAGAGACAGGGUCUUGCUCUUUGACACAGGUUGGAGUAUAGUGGUGCAAUCAUAGCUCACUGCUGCCUCAAACUCCUAGACUCAAGCCAUCCUCCUGCCUCAGUCUCCUGAGUAGCUGUGGUUACAGGCACGUCCCAGCACACCUAGCUGAUUUUUUAUUUUUUGUAGAGACAGGGUUUUGCUUUGUUGCCCAGACUGGUCUCAAACUCCUGGCUUCAAGCAUUCAUCCUGCCACAGCCUCCCAAAGUGCUGGGAUUACAGGCAUGAGCCACUUUGCCUGGCCCCUCAUGAAACUUAAAAUUAAAUUAUCUCUUUAAAAAGGAG